Long non-coding RNA from Numida meleagris (helmeted guineafowl), 583 nucleotides. RefSeq lists it as uncharacterized. The record is from RefSeq and is a predicted model, not a curated record. The transcript is spliced from 3 exons. Lineage: Eukaryota; Metazoa; Chordata; Aves; Galliformes; Numididae.
GCCAAGCAGAGCCCAGCACCAACCCUGCCUUGUGUGUGUGUCAUUAACCAUCCGAUUUGGACUUGGUGCUGGGGGAAAACAGAUGACUGCAAGAGGAACUUCAGAAGGAUUCUUCUCGAGGCUGCCAGAUCUCACCUCACGUAAUUUUACAGCAUGGAGCCAACACAGCACUCCCCUCUCCACACUAUGGUAUCUGAGAACUGACCUGGAGAAGACCAGGAGCUGCUUUGGAGGGAAAUGUCUUCCAUGAGCAACCUUUUCCUACUCCAACCAUCCUUACUUAAACCAACCCAGCUGCAGAUUCCCAGCUUCUGAUGUACUGAGAGAAGUUCCUGUUGGCCCUAUUAACAGCAUUAGCAAGUUGUUUUCAAGGCCUUUUUUUUGCCAUAUCUUACUGCUUUUGCACUUAUCUCACCAGAGUUUGUGAUGGUUCAUGUUUUCCCCACCGAGGCAUGAAUUCAACUCUUGAAGGACUCGUCCUUUCUAAAAAUAGCCCUCUUUACUCUGCUGUUUAACCAAGUCACCUUUUUUGUGUGGGUGGGUGGGUGAGAUCCUCCAAUAACUUUUAACAGUGAUACACUGA